GAACCUGCAACCUAUGGACGAUGCUCCAACCAACUGAGCCACCUGGCCUGGGCUAAAUACCUUGCAAAGAAAAGCACAUUAAGAUAUCACUUGACUUUUAAAAAAUAAAGAAAAUGUUCCAUAGAGAUAAAUAUCCCAAAUUCCCACUUCCUACCCCAAAAAAAUUCCGGCUCUAGAAAUUGAUGUUGUCCUCAGUAAUAGACAGACUGAAUAUACAUGAGGGCCUCAUCUGCCUACUGGAUGGAGAAUAGUUUUUGGGUCUUGAAUUAUUUGCAUGCUUGCACAUACCAACACAGAAUGUGGAUUUAAAUCACGAGUGAUUCUUGAAAAAUUAAAGUAAAAUAAUUGCCAAGUAUAUGAAGCCAAGCUUAAGUUGUAUUAUUUACCAUUUGCUGGAGACUGGACAGGGGCUUCAGGAAGUUGUUCCAUCACUCUCUGUGUCAUCUGUGUUCCACUUGUCUUCCAUCCUUGCCUGUAUCUGUCUUAAUUCUCCUCUUGUUUUUAGGACACAGGCCGUGGGAAGUGGCAGCAUGGUGUCCCGUGCGGGAAGCAUCGUGGCCCCGUUCUCCGUUAACCUCUCCAGCAUUUGGAUCUUUAUACCCCAGUUGCUGAUUGGGUGUUUGGCCUUUGUGAGUGGAAUUCUAACAUUCCAACUUCCAGAAACCCUCCGGAAGCCUCUGAUAAGUACUUGGGAGGAGGCUACCACACCGGAUGCAGAAAAAGAGAGUAGUUCAGGCAAAUUGUCUCCCACAACCAGUAACACUGAUGCUGGACAAACCAGAAGUGAUUAAUUCAGGGGGUUCUGGUUUGGCAAAUGACUGUGCUAUGUGUGCUGUCUAGCACCUGAAAAAGUGUUUACUUUACUGCCUUUGUAUUAGAGGAAUACUAUUCUCAUUUCCUGCAUGUCAUUUUUGUCUUU
This is a long non-coding RNA of Myotis davidii, 919 nucleotides long. RefSeq lists it as uncharacterized. The transcript is spliced from 2 exons. NCBI's taxonomy places the organism in Eukaryota, Metazoa, Chordata, Mammalia, Chiroptera, Vespertilionidae. The record is from RefSeq and is a predicted model, not a curated record.